GAACAAUACUACUUUUUGUUUCUAAAUAAGAAGAUCCCUCUCUAAAACUAAUAAAUCUCUAGCAAAUUGCUUUUUUUAAUCUAUCCAAACAGAUUAAAACAUAGAUUAAAGAAAAAGAGGAUAACUCUGAUUUACUGUGAUUUUAAAUUUCUAUCUUCAAUGCUUAUGUAAUUUUAAAAGAGCCACCCUAAUUUGUUAAUAUUUUUUUAUUUUUUGUUCCCUCAAGUCCUCAUAAAAAAGACCACAAUUUAAAUAGUAGAGUCACUUCAAUUUGGCUUCAUCUUAGCUUCUCUUUCCUCCAAGGCUUAGGAAAAGCUUAAAACCAAAUCAACCCUCGACUUUCUCCUAAUGAUAAGCCAUAAGAAAAAAAUUGCUACUUCUUUGAUUUGUAGCUCUGAUUUAGUCCCUUGUCAUUAUUUUCUUGUUUUCUUUCAAAAAGAAAAAAAAAAUACUGUUUUUUUAGCAGAAGAUCAUGUCUAUGCUUGUAUUUUCUUUAGAGCUGCAUAUAUCAAAAUGUUAAAAUAUAGAAAAAAAAUGUAUACCUUAAGAUCCUGAAACAACCACUAAACUACAAAGGCAAAAAAAGAAAACCUUAAAUAGGAACACACUCAAAAACAAAAGGAAUAAUACAAACAAUUUUAGGCCUUAAAAGGAGAAGAGCAUAUUGCUUGAGCAUUAAAGAAGGAAGAGUUUCUAUUAAAAAAAAGAAACUCAAUAACCUAAAAGAAGUGAUUACCUCACCAUGCUACUGUAAUUGUCAAUAGAGAUGCCAUCAAAAAACAAAGCAAACUGUACAUCUCUGCCAUGAGGUGACACAAAGGUGGCUUCUUACUAUUAACCUUAGGGAAGGCAAAAUUUUUAAGUACCAAAAAGUCCUCAUUCCUUACAAAAACACCACGUUCUCUUUUUUUUUUUUUACUAUUCACAAUGAGCAUGCAAAACAAAUAGAAUGGAAGAGUUAAAUAAUGCUAAUCUCAUUAUAAUGUUUUUUAUAUUCAUUUGGAACACACAUUAGCUUACACAUGGCUCUUUUUGCGUCUUGCUUGAAAGAGUUGCUACAAUAUU
This 1065-nucleotide unclassified non-coding RNA is filed under the name Hevea brasiliensis (rubber tree). The record is from RNAcentral. Lineage: Eukaryota; Viridiplantae; Streptophyta; Magnoliopsida; Malpighiales; Euphorbiaceae.